UGAUGACAAAUUCUCCGGAAUCGCUGUAUUUUCUUGAUGAUACUCCUUGAACCCCUUUUGCUGAUGACUGUUUUUGCGUUGAAC
Molecule: small nucleolar RNA, 84 nt
Organism: Triplophysa rosa
Lineage: Eukaryota; Metazoa; Chordata; Actinopteri; Cypriniformes; Nemacheilidae
Product: small nucleolar RNA MBII-202
Exons: 1
Source: RefSeq, a predicted model, not a curated record